UUGCAUGUUUGUUCUCAUUUGUUUUUGGCAUAUGCUGUCAUGUAUUUAUUAAGAACCUCUGUCACUUCCUCAUAUCUCUACUUUGGAAGCGUUUACCUUUUGAUAUUCAGUUCUGUUGUAUUUAAAAUGUUUUAUACAAUGUUAGGCUUUAGGGUGUUUGUGCAUGAGGCUUUUAAAGUUGAGGGCAUCUUCUCUCUAAUUUAUUUGGGGUACAUGCUGCCUUCACUCCAUUCAGGAUUUCAGAAUGAGUAUUCCGUGAUUACUAACUAUUUCCAUGGGACAUCAGCUGAAUUCUGCUUUUGAGAUGCCAGUUAUGUAGUGGUAGCUAUAAAGCUUGAAAAUUGUGCGAGCCGCUUGGGGCUUUCAUAUGUCACAUUCACUUUGGGAGUCUUGGAAUCAUUUAUUAAUCUUCUUAUGUGAUGGUGGGGGAGCUUGUGUGAACGAUUUGAAUGUAAGACGAUGAGAGCACUUCAUUCAUUUAAGACGCAUAAGACUUUAUUCAGUGGUUUAUGAGCUUUAUGUCCUUCCGUUUCUUUGUUGGUUGCUAUCUAUCCGAGCUUUAUUUUCUUUUUCCUGUUAGAAUUUAGGAGGUUCCAUAAAUAUAAUAUUAUAGGAAAUAUAAUUGGGUUUCCUUUUUGUUUAACAUGGCAAGUCAAAGAAUGCCUGUAUUAGGCUGAGUUUCUAAUCAGUCUGAAAAUGUUUUUCUCAUUACUUAGUUCUUGUUGUUUUCCUAUUUUAUGACAUGUUCUUGCUUCUCUUCUUAAUUCGUGUGUUGAUUCGUAGAAUAUGGAAUUACUUGCUUUCCAACAUGCUAUUGCUUUUGUCAAGGUCUAUUUCCUUUUUCUUUUAUGGGACUUUUAAAAAAUAAAUUCAUGUUAUAUCUAUGCAAGAAAUUUAUUAGUGGUAUAUGCAGAAUUGGGUAAUGAUCCAAGUAUUUAUUGGUGGUUUGUAUCGGUAAUGUAUAACUAUGAACAAGUAAAUCUAUGUGCUUGUUUUAUGAUCUGGUAUUUUAAACUCCAAUUAGUUUCUUUCUUUCUUUCUUUUUUUUUUUUUUUUUUUUUUUUAAAUAAGUAUGAGUGGAUUGUAAGGUGAGAAUGCUAGGGUGUAAAAAAGCAAGAAAAAUUAGAAGGGUUGAAGCCUUAAGAAAAUGAAUAUUAACCAAAAAGCAAAUUUCAUUUAGACCAUCAUAUGCCAUGAUGGCUCAUUUUAAAUUUCAUUCCUCAAAAUUCAACGUAUUCCUCCAUUUACACAAACUGUUAUAGUAACUGUUCCAAAUGUGUCUUCCACUGUGUACAGACAAUUAUUCGUCUUUAAGCUUGGACCAUAUCUAUGAGGUGAAAAUUUGUUGGUUGCUGAUUAUUUUAAGAAUGUAGCUUGAGUUAUCUGUAUGCUCUUUUGUGAUAGUUGGAACUGUAUUCAUCUGUCUUCGAUACAAGAUGUUGACACUUUCCUGUGUGCAUGAGCUUAAUUGUUUGAUAACUAUAGAGGAGGUGGUUUCAUGUAUUUGUUCAUCUGUAUAUAAUAUAACUGCUAUAUGUUCUGUGUUGUUGGAGGUUAAACAGGUAUUUCAUGGAGCCACCAUUCUUGAGGGAAGGUGGAUAGUUAUGUAGGCAUGCUAUUGACUUUAAAUCCAUUGUAUAGGAAUUGAAUAAGCUAGUUUUAGCUCUGGAGCUGAUACUCUAUUGAAUUGUUUGGAUUUAUGCAAAAGUUAUUUUAUUUUUGCAGGACAUAUGUAUUGUAUUCACAGACUAUUUGAAACAUAAAGAUGUAUUCCUUUUAAA
Ricinus communis (castor bean) is the source of this 1781-nucleotide long non-coding RNA. RefSeq lists it as uncharacterized. The record is from RefSeq and is a predicted model, not a curated record. NCBI's taxonomy places the organism in Eukaryota, Viridiplantae, Streptophyta, Magnoliopsida, Malpighiales, Euphorbiaceae. The transcript is spliced from 2 exons.